AACGAACGCUGGCGGCAUGCCUAACACAUGCAAGUCGAACGAGAUCUUCGGGUCUAGUGGCGCACGGGUGCGUAACGCGUGGGAAUCUGCCUUUUGGUUCGGAAUAACAGUUGGAAACGACUGCUAAUACCGGAUGAUGACGAAAGUCCAAAGAUUUAUCGCCAGAGGAUGAGCUCGCGUAGGAUUAGCUAGUUGGUGUGGUAAAGGCGCACAAAGGCGACGAUCCUUAGCUGGUCUGAGAGGAUGAUCAGCCACACUGGGACUGAGACACGGCCCAGACUCCUACGGGAGGCAGCAGUGGGGAAUAUUGGACAAUGGGCGAAAACCUGAUCCAGCAAUGCCGCGUGAGUGAUGAAGGCCUUAGGGUUGUAAAGCUCUUUUACCCGGGAUGAUAAUGACAGUACCGGGAGAAUAAGCUCCGGCUAACUCCGUGCCAGCCGCCGCGGUAA
This 449-nucleotide ribosomal RNA is filed under the name uncultured bacterium. RNAcentral describes it as "partial 16S ribosomal RNA". It matches the Rfam family "Bacterial small subunit ribosomal RNA", at positions 29 to 523 of the family's 1533-position model. The record is from RNAcentral.